This 362-nucleotide ribosomal RNA is filed under the name uncultured rumen bacterium. RNAcentral describes it as "partial 16S ribosomal RNA". The record is from RNAcentral.
UAUUCCCCACUGCUGCCUCCCGUAGGAGUCUGGGCCGUAUCUCAGUCCCAAUGUGGCCGUUCAACCUCUCAGUCCGGCUACUGAUCGCAGUCUUGGUAGGCCGUUACCCUGCCAUCUAACUAAUCAGAUAUGAGCCCAUCUUUCAGCGGAUUGCUCCUUUGGUAUCAAAGGGAUGCCCCCUCGAUACAUUAUGCGGUAUUAGCAGUCGUUUCCAACUGUUGUCCCCCUCUGAAAGGCAGGUUGCUCAUACAUUACUCACCCGUCCGCCACUAAGUCAAAUCCCUCUUCGACGAAUCUCUGAGGAAGAUGCUUCGUUCGACUUGCAUGUGUUAGGCACGCCGCCAGCGUUCAUCCUGAGCCAA